UACGUAGGGAGCAAGCGUUGUUCGGAUUUACUGGGCGUAAAGGGCGCGUAGGCGGCGCGGUAAGUCACUUGUGAAAUCUCUGAGCUUAACUCAGAACGGCCAAGUGAUACUGCAGUGCUAGAGUGCAGAAAGGGCAAUCGGAAUUCUUGGUGUAGCGGUGAAAUGCGUAGAUAUCAAGAGGAACACCUGAGGCGAAGGCGGGUUGCUAGGCUGACACUGACGCUGAUGCGCGAAAGCCAGGGGAGCAAACGGG
This 253-nucleotide ribosomal RNA is filed under the name uncultured bacterium. RNAcentral's name for it is "partial 16S ribosomal RNA". It matches the Rfam family "Bacterial small subunit ribosomal RNA", at positions 524 to 776 of the family's 1533-position model. The record is from RNAcentral.